CAGAAGUCAGGUCGGAUUAAGCCAUAGUACGGAAAAAACUAUGCUACCUGUGAGCCCCGUCCAAGGACGUUAAAAGAAGUCAGGCCACUACAAGUGCCAUAGCUUGAGUAAACUAUGCAGCCUGUAGCUCCACCUGAGAAGGUGUAAAAAAUCUGGGAGGCCACAAACCAUGGAAGCUGUACGCAUGGCGUAGUGGACUAGCGGUUAGAGGAGACCCCUCCCUUACAAAUCGCAGCAACAAUGGGGGCCCAAGGUGAGAUGAAGCUGUAGUCUCACUGAAAGGACUAGAGGUUAGAGGAGACCCCCCCAAAAUAAAAAACAGCAUA
This 326-nucleotide long non-coding RNA is filed under the name dengue virus type 2. Its description in RNAcentral is "Dengue virus 2 partial sfRNA1". The stretch from base 243 to 314 matches the Rfam family "Flavivirus DB element". The record is from RNAcentral. Lineage: Riboviria; Orthornavirae; Kitrinoviricota; Flasuviricetes; Amarillovirales; Flaviviridae.